GAUGAUUGGUAACCACCUUUAUUUGAGGAUUGGUAACCACCUUGGUUAGAUGAUUCAUAACCUGAAGACUGGUAUCCCCCUGCAGGCUUGUAGCCACCACCAGAGUUGCCUGAUUGAUAACCACCUCUGCUAUUACUGGAAUAGCUUGGGUGCCAUUCCUAUUUGAGGUUUCCAACUGCGAUGUCCUUGAUGUUCGUCACCAGGUUUCAAAACGCGAGGGGGUUCCACAGCUCCACGCAGACGUGUCGCAGGGAACACAUAAUCUUCACCAUACUUCGGAUCUCGAAAACGAACAUGCACAACAGAAUUGUCACGGAGCACAGGAAGACCCAUCACGGGUGACUCCAAAGACCCACCCUGAAUCAAAUAAAAAGAGAAAGCAAUUGCAAACCAUCGGUUAUUUACUUUUGGCAUGACCAAAGCCCUUCUAAAAAUAAUAAAAACAGAUUGUAUACCUGU
This is a long non-coding RNA of Frankliniella occidentalis (western flower thrips), 459 nucleotides long. RefSeq lists it as uncharacterized. The record is from RefSeq and is a predicted model, not a curated record. The transcript has 2 exons. Lineage: Eukaryota; Metazoa; Arthropoda; Insecta; Thysanoptera; Thripidae.